AAGACCUGCAAAAUUCUAAUUUACAUCUAUUGACUGCAACCCAACUGCUUUCAUUAAGCUAAGGCCUU
This 68-nucleotide transfer RNA is filed under the name Pachydactylus labialis. RNAcentral's name for it is "tRNA-Ala". Lineage: Eukaryota; Metazoa; Chordata; Lepidosauria; Squamata; Gekkonidae. The record is from RNAcentral.